GAGACGCUCCCUUCGGUUCCGGCCGGAGUCCGCACAGGUGCUGCAUGGCUGUCGUCAGCUCGUGUCGUGAGAUGUUGGGUUAAGUCCCGCAACGAGCGCAACCCUCGUCUCCAGUUGCCAUCAGGUUAUGCUGGGCACUUUGGAGAAACUGCCGGUGACAAGCCGGAGGAAGGUGGGGAUGACGUCAAGUCCUCAUGGCCCUUACGGGCUGGGCUACACACGUGCUACAAUGGCGGUGACAAUGGGAUGCGAUGGCGCGAGCCGGAGCCGAUCCUAAAAAACCGUCUCAGUUCGGAUUGCACUCUGCAACUCGAGUGCAUGAAGUUGGAAUCGCUAGUAAUCGAGGAUCAGCAUGCCUCGGUGAAUACGUUCCCGGGCCUUGUACACACCGCCCGUCACGCCAUGGGAGUUGGUUCUACCCGAAGAUGGUGCGCUAACCGCAAGGAGGCAGCCAGCCACGGUAGGAUCAAUGACUGGGGCGAAGUCGUAACAAGGUAAGCGUAGUGCU
Molecule: ribosomal RNA, 508 nt
Filed under: uncultured bacterium
Lineage: Bacteria
Description: bacterial SSU rRNA
Rfam family: Bacterial small subunit ribosomal RNA
Source: RNAcentral